RNAcentral lists this long non-coding RNA (1923 nucleotides) under Homo sapiens (human). RNAcentral describes it as "long non-coding RNA NONHSAT169627.1". Lineage: Eukaryota; Metazoa; Chordata; Mammalia; Primates; Hominidae. The record is from RNAcentral.
CGCUGCAAGGAGAAGCUGCACGACGUGGACUUCUACAAGGCCCGCAUGGAGGAGCUGAGAGAAGAUAAUAUCAUUUUAAUUGAAACCAAGGCCAUGCUGGAGGAACAGCUGACUGCUGCUCGGGCCCGGGGCGAUAAAGUCCAUGAGCUGGAAAAGGAGAACCUGCAGCUGAAAUCCAAGCUUCACGACCUGGAAUUGGACCGGGACACAGAUAAGAAACGAAUUGAGGAGCUGCUGGAAGAAAACAUGGUCCUUGAGAUUGCACAGAAGCAGAGCAUGAACGAAUCUGCCCACCUUGGCUGGGAGCUGGAGCAGCUGUCCAAGAACGCAGACUUGUCAGACGCCUCCAGGAAGUCGUUUGUGUUUGAGCUGAACGAAUGUGCGUCCAGCCGCAUCCUGAAGCUGGAGAAGGAGAAUCAGAGCCUCCAGAGCACCAUCCAGGGGCUGCGGGACGCGUCCCUGGUGUUGGAGGAGAGCGGCCUCAAGUGCGGGGAGCUGGAGAAGGAGAACCACCAGCUCAGCAAGAAGAUUGAAAAGUUACAAACCCAGCUGGAGAGAGAAAAGCAGAGCAACCAAGAUCUGGAGACCCUCAGUGAGGAGCUGAUCAGAGAGAAGGAGCAGCUGCAGAGUGACAUGGAGACCCUGAAGGCUGACAAAGCCAGGCAGAUCAAGGACCUUGAGCAGGAAAAGGACCACCUCAACCGAGCCAUGUGGUCGCUGCGGGAGAGGUCGCAGGUCAGCAGUGAGGCCCGCAUGAAAGACGUGGAGAAGGAGAACAAAGCCCUCCACCAGACGGUGACGGAGGCCAAUGGCAAGCUCAGCCAGUUGGAGUUUGAGAAGCGGCAGCUGCACAGGGACUUGGAGCAGGCCAAGGAGAAGGGGGAGCGGGCAGAGAAGCUGGAGAGGGAGCUACAGCGACUCCAGGAGGAGAACGGGAGGCUGGCCAGGAAGGUGACCUCCCUGGAGACAGCCACCGAGAAAGUCGAGGCCCUGGAGCAUGAGAGCCAGGGCCUGCAGCUGGAGAACCGGACUCUGAGGAAGUCUCUGGACACCUUGCAGAACGUGUCCCUGCAGCUUGAGGGCCUGGAGCGUGACAACAAGCAGCUGGACGCAGAGAACCUGGAGCUGCGCAGGCUGGUGGAGACCAUGCGCUUCACCAGCACCAAGCUGGCACAGAUGGAGAGGGAGAACCAGCAGCUGGAGCGUGAGAAGGAGGAGCUGAGGAAGAACGUGGAUCUGCUCAAGGCGCUGGGCAAGAAGUCAGAGCGCCUGGAGCUCAGCUACCAGAGCGUGAGCGCUGAGAACCUCCGGCUGCAGCAGAGCCUGGAGAGCAGCAGCCACAAGACGCAGACCUUGGAGAGUGAGCUGGGCGAGCUGGAGGCUGAGCGCCAGGCGCUGCGGCGGGACCUGGAGGCCCUCCGGCUGGCCAAUGCACAGUUGGAGGGGGCCGAGAAGGACAGGAAGGCCCUGGAGCAGGAGGUGGCCCAGCUCGAGAAGGAUAAGAAGCUGCUGGAGAAGGAGGCCAAGCGGCUGUGGCAGCAGGUGGAGCUCAAGGAUGCAGUCUUGGACGAUAGCACUGCCAAACUGUCCGCCGUUGAGAAGGAGAGCCGCGCGCUGGACAAGGAGCUGGCCCGCUGCAGGGACGCAGCCGGCAAGCUGAAGGAGCUGGAGAAGGACAACCGGGACCUCACCAAGCAAGUCACCGUGCAUGCAAGGACACUGACAACUCUGAGGGAGGACCUGGUGCUCGAGAAGCUGAAGAGCCAGCAGCUCAGCAGUGAGCUGGACAAGCUGAGCCAGGAACUGGAGAAGGUCGGCCUCAACAGGGAGCUGCUGUUGCAGGAGGACGACAGCGGCAGUGACACAAAAUACAAGAUUUUGGAGGGCAGAAAUGAAUCAGCAUUAAAAACAACACUAGCCAUG